Molecule: unclassified non-coding RNA, 215 nt
Filed under: Hevea brasiliensis (rubber tree)
Lineage: Eukaryota; Viridiplantae; Streptophyta; Magnoliopsida; Malpighiales; Euphorbiaceae
Source: RNAcentral
GUGCAAAUAUGAUUAUGUUCAAGAAAAUUCCCACGAGUAGGGACUGGGUACAAAGGGAACAUUAGUUGGUACAACGGUAAAACUAAACUACAGUGGUGUCUGCUUGAAUUUUGAGUUUUUCUUUUUUCCACUUCUGCCUCUUGUUCUUCUUUUUGUUUGUUUAUAUCAAGUUUAACAACACUGGCAAGUAUUGUAUUCAUUAUGGUGGGAGGCGA